CCCUAUUCGGGGCUAAUACAUGACCAAGUCGAACGCACUCUCGUUUAGAUUGAAGGAGCUUGCUCCUGAUUGAUAAACAUUUGAGUGAGUGGCGGACGGGUGAGUAACACGUGGGUAACCUGCCCUAAAGUGGGGGAUAACAUUUGGAAACAGAUGCUAAUACCGCAUAAAACCUAACACCGCAUGGUGUAGGGUUGAAAGAUGGUUUCGGCUAUCACUUUAGGAUGGACCCGCGGUGCAUUAGUUAGUUGGUGAGGUAAAGGCUCACCAAGACCGUGAUGCAUAGCCGACCUGAGAGGGUAAUCGGCCACACUGGGACUGAGACACGGCCCAGACUCCUACGGGAGGCAGCAGUAGGGAAUCUUCCACAAUGGACGAAAGUCUGAUGGAGCAACGCCGCGUGAGUGAAGAAGGUUUUCGGAUCGUAAAACUCUGUUGUUGGAGAAGAAUGUAUCUGAUAGUAACUGAUCAGGUAGUGACGGUAUCCAACCAGAAAGCCACGGCUAACUACGUGCCAGCAGCCGCGGUAAUACGUAGGUGGCAAGCGUUGUCCGGAUUUAUUGGGCGUAAAGCGAGCGCAGGCGGUUUCUUAAGUCUGAUGUGAAAGCCUUCGGCUCAACCGAAGAAGUGCAUCGGAAACUGGGAAACUUGAGUGCAGAAGAGGACAGUGGAACUCCAUGUGUAGCGGUGAAAUGCGUAGAUAUAUGGAAGAACACCAGUGGCGAAGGCGGCUGUCUGGUCUGUAACUGACGCUGAGGCUCGAAAGCAUGGGUAGCAAACAGGAUUAGAUACCCUGGUAGUCCAUGCCGUAAACGAUGAGUGCUAGGUGUUGGAGGGUUUCCGCCCUUCAGUGCCGCAGCUAACGCAUUAAGCACUCCGCCUGGAGAGUACGACCGCAAGGUUGAAACUCAGAGGAAUUGACGGGGGCCCGCACAAGCGGUGGAGCAUGUGGUUUAAUUCGAAGCAACGCGAAGAACCUUACCAGGUCUUGACAUCCUUUGACCACUCUAGAGAUAGAGCUUUCCCUUCGGGGACAAAGUGACAGGUGGUGCAUGGUUGUCGUCAGCUCGUGUCGUGAGAUGUUGGGUAAGUCCCGCAACGAGCGCACCCUUAUUACUAGUUGCCAGCAUUAGUUGGGCA
RNAcentral lists this ribosomal RNA (1140 nucleotides) under Latilactobacillus sakei. RNAcentral describes it as "bacterial SSU rRNA". It matches the Rfam family "Bacterial small subunit ribosomal RNA", at positions 1 to 1137 of the family's 1533-position model. Lineage: Bacteria; Bacillati; Bacillota; Bacilli; Lactobacillales; Lactobacillaceae. The record is from RNAcentral.